Molecule: long non-coding RNA, 834 nt
Filed under: Hordeum vulgare
Lineage: Eukaryota; Viridiplantae; Streptophyta; Magnoliopsida; Poales; Poaceae
Description: long non-coding RNA (HVUL_LNC013903)
Source: RNAcentral
GAGUGCAUAUGGGCCUGGACUUAAAAAUGUAUAUUCAUUCAGCGUCCCGGCGAAAGAAAAAGAGAUGAUCUUCUACUUAAACAAAAUCAAGCUUUAACGUUCGCUCAAAAGAAAAUUCAAGCUUUAACAGGGAACUGGAUGUUGGCGUGCAUGUGUGGAGUAGGAUUAUGUUCCUCGCGCGCAAUGAUGCCGAUGGUUCCCUCCGGGUCCAUCAUCGAUCGGUGGAUGCAUGGAUCGCUCCCCCGAUGGACGAGCGUCCAGUCGUCGGUGCGUGCAUGGCCAGCUCGUGGAGUUGAUGCCAAUGAUACGAUACAGCAGUGGAUCGUUGUAUGCGGGCUGCUAAAAUACAAUGAUUCCUUUUUGUCUGAACUGAGCCCACGUUAGAUUGUUGCCUACUAUAGCACUCCUUGUCGUAGUUGUACAGGAGAGACGGUCGACGAGUCUGAUACGGCCAUCGAGGCCGCCUUGUCCGUAUCGACCAGCCCAACAUUUCGGCUCGUGGCGAAUUUGGCUCUUGUGCUUUGCUUCGCCGCGUUAUUAAAGCAAGGGUUCACACGGAAUCGUGUGCCCCCAGCCUCCUCCGUCGUCUCGUCUCGAGAUGCGGUGUGGACGGGAGGGAGAGACCACGGCGGCUCGUCGGCCUGGGCCCUCUGUCUGCACUACGGUGCGCCGGGUUCCAGUUGGGCCUACUAUGUGAGUGGCCCCCCCAACGCAGCAGGCACCGCGUCGAGUGCUCGAGCUUGCCGACCGUUGUAGCUGGAUUUUCUUGAGACGAGCAAUGCUAUCCACCAUGCUAAAAAAAGAGGAUGCUCUCAAAUGCUGCAUUCACCGUCU